This is a long non-coding RNA of Acanthopagrus latus (yellowfin seabream), 754 nucleotides long. RefSeq lists it as uncharacterized. The record is from RefSeq and is a predicted model, not a curated record. The transcript has 2 exons. NCBI's taxonomy places the organism in Eukaryota, Metazoa, Chordata, Actinopteri, Spariformes, Sparidae.
UCUGUGUCACAAGCCUCCACCUACAGCAUCUGCCAGCAACCUCCACCUGUGGAUUCUGACAGAUUGCUGCAACCCAUGUCCUCCAACUAAUGUCCGAACUGAGUCCUCUUCUUGAAACCUGCACCUCUGACUCCACCUGCAGACUCUGGUAGAUUAGUGCAGCCAAAACCUCCACCUAAAGUGUCUUCCACCUUCUCUGCUCACAGCAUCUGUCAGUAACCUGUUGUUUCUUCCACCUACAGAUUAAUGAAGACCAAUGAGCCUCAACCUACAACUGUAGAUUCACGCAGACAGACGCAACACAGACCUCACCUUCAGAUUCUGGCAGAGCGAGGCAUCCACCUACAGCCCCCACCAGAAACUCCAUGGGAGAGGAUAAAAACACUUUUUCAGAACUUUCAUUUAUUUUGUAUUGCAUCAUCUCAGACAAACAUCAGCUGGUGGAUCCAUGCUGUUCCUAAAGGCAUCAUCAAACUGGGUCAGCUGUCCAUCAUGGAGAAGUCCAAGCUGUGUCACCUUCAUGGCAUUGUCCUCCAAAGAGCUGCUAGAAAUCAAUACACUGAGGAAAUUAUAUCCAGUUUCUUCACUUGAACCACAGCAGUGAAUCAUCACCUCUCUCCACCUGGUUCCUCUCGAUCGAAACUCAAGAUCAACCAGAGCCCAACAAGGUCCUGACCCGAGACCUCUCUGCUGCUGCAAGGAAGGAGACAACAGAACUCCUUUCAGAGGGCCAAUAAAAUAUCAGCCUACAUUA